UGGGGAAUUUUGGACAAUGGGGGAAACCCUGAUCCAGCCAUCCCGCGUGUGCGAUGAAGGCCUCCGGGUUGUAAAGCACUUUUGGCAGGAAAGAAACGUCAUGGGUUAAUACCCCGUGAAACUGACGGUACCUGCAGAAUAAGCACCGGCUAACUACGUGCCAGCAGCCGCGGUAAUACGUAGGGUGCAAGCGUUAAUCGGAAUUACUGGGCGUAAAGCGUGCGCAGGCGGUUCGGAAAGAAAGAUGUGAAAUCCCAGAGCUAAACUUUGGAACUGCAUUUUUAACUACCGGGCUAGAGUGUGUCAGAGGGGGGUGGAAUUCCGCGUGUAGCAGUGAAAUGCGUAGAUAUGCGGAGGAACACCGAUGGCGAAGGCAGCCUCCUGGGAUAACACUGACGCUCAUGCACGAAAGCGUGGGGAGCAAACAGG
RNAcentral lists this ribosomal RNA (429 nucleotides) under Acidobacteriota bacterium. Its description in RNAcentral is "Acidobacteria bacterium partial 16S ribosomal RNA". It matches the Rfam family "Bacterial small subunit ribosomal RNA", at positions 355 to 776 of the family's 1533-position model. Lineage: Bacteria; Pseudomonadati; Acidobacteriota. The record is from RNAcentral.